RNAcentral lists this ribosomal RNA (1554 nucleotides) under Triticum aestivum (bread wheat). RNAcentral describes it as "partial small subunit ribosomal RNA". Lineage: Eukaryota; Viridiplantae; Streptophyta; Magnoliopsida; Poales; Poaceae. The record is from RNAcentral.
AUGGCUCCCUCCUCCACCUCCACCUCCACCUCGCCCCCCUCCGUCGUCGUCGUCCUCAUCCUCCUCCUCUCCGCCGUCCCGGCCCGCCUCGCCUCGAUCCCCGUCUCCGAUGGACUGGAGCAGCUAGGAGGAGGAGAAGGCCUGCACCGGGAGAUUCUCAGGGACGAGACGGUGCUGAGGCUCAAGGAACUCGGCAAGAUAUCUGAUGGCGAAGGCUUCCUCGAAAGGACAUUCCUGAGUCCCGCUUCCUUCAGAGCCACUGAUGUCAUUAUCAGCUGGAUGAAAGAUGCUGGACUUGCGACGUGGGUGGAUCAAAUGGGUAAUAUUCAUGGUCGAUUUGAACCGUCCAAUUCAACAGAGAAGGCUUUAUUGAUUGGAUCUCACAUGGAUACUGUCAUUGAUGCUGGCAUGUACGACGGAGCUUUGGGUAUUAUAUGCGCAAUCUCUGCUCUGAAGGUCUUGAGAGUCACUGGAAAACUUCAGAGGCUCACUAGACCAGUAGAGCAUAGUGUGCUUGUCUCACUGCAAUCAGUGAGCUGGUUACGCGAGCCAUUAUCCUAUUGCUCACAGGUGAUUGCAUUCAGCGACGAGGAGGGCGUUAGAUUUCAGACAACAUUUCUGGGAAGCGCCGCUGUAGCUGGUAUUCUACCUGAAUCAAUUUUGCAAGUAUCUGACAAGAGUGGCACUACCGUUCAAGAGGCUCUUCGGUUGAACUCCUUCGAGGCCACUGCUGCUGCUCUUGGUCAGGUCAAGUACAGCCCGGAGUCUGUCGGCAGCUAUGUUGAGGUUCACUUGGAACAAGGGCCUGUCCUGGAAGCCCUCCGAUAUCCCCUUGGCGUCGUAAAAGGGAUCGCAGGGCAGACACGAUUGAAGGUAAUAGUAGACGGUUCCCAAGGGCAUGCUGGGACGGUUCCAAUGAAAUUGCGCCGUGAUCCGAUGGUUGCAGCUGCAGAGCUGGUGGUGACACUGGAGGGCCUGUGCAAAGACCCGAGCAGAUUCCUGACCUACGACGAGGAGUGCGGCUGCUUCACCGAGGAGUCCCUCGCCGGCCUCGUCUGCACCGUCGGCGAGCUGCUCACGUGGCCCAGCGCCAGCAAUGUCAUCCCAGGCCAGGUGAACUUCACGGUGGACAUACGCGCCAUGGACGACCUGGUGCGGGAGACGAUCGUGGCGAGCUUCUCGCGGAUCGUCAUGCAGCGGUGCGACCACCGGCUGGUCGACUGCGCCGUCGAGCACAAGCACUCGGCGGCGGCCACACCGUGCGACCCGGAGCUGACGGCCCAGCUGAAGCGUGCGACGCGGUCGGCGGUGUCGGCGAUGGCGGCGCCCGGCGGCCACGCGGCGGUUGCCGGGGAGUCGACGCCGGUGCUGAUGAGCGGCGCGGGGCACGACGCGAUGGCGAUGGCGCGGCUGACGCGGGUGGGGAUGCUGUUCGUGCGGUGCCGCGGCGGGGUGAGCCACUCGCCGGAGGAGCACGUGGCGGAGGACGACGUGUGGGCCGCCGGGCUCGCGCUGCUCCGCUUCGUCGACCAGCACGCCGUGGCCGAGCUGUGA